AAUGAGCGGACAGCGAGGGCCGGAGCGGGGCUGAGGCUAGGGUGCAGAGCUGGCGAGCCACGGUUGGGGCCAGAGUGGGGAGCGCAGCGUGGAGGUGCCACCUAGUGCGGGUGGCGGAGAGAUCAGAACCUUCUUCCCCAAGCGGAGCCAACCUCAGCGAGGACCGGGGCUCAGGGACGCUGCGGCGACGACUGCAACGGCUGGACGAUGGCAGCGCCCGUCGGAGCCUGGGCGGUGAUUGCAGCCCCAGACAGGAGGCGCUGGCCGUGGUCGGUGCUGACUGCGGCUCUCGGGCUCCUGAUAGCUGGAGUAUCAGGCUUGGAAGUAUAUACACCAAAAGAACUCUUCGUGGCAAAUGGUACACAAGGGAAACUGACCUGCAAGUUCAAGUCUACUGAUACGACUGGCAGGUUGACCUCAGUCUCCUGGAGCUUCCAGCCAGAGGGGGCUGACACUGCCGUGUCGUUUUUCCACUACUCCCAAGGGAACGCGUACCCUGGGAAUUAUCCACCAUUUAAAGACAGAACCAACUGGGCUGGAGACCUUGACAAGAAAGAUGCCUCAAUCUACAUAGAGAAUAUGCAGUUUAUACACAAUGGCACCUAUAUCUGUGAUGUCAAAAACCCUCCUGACAUCGUUGCCCAGCCUGGACACAUUAGGCUCUAUGUCAUAGAAAAAGGUACUUCCGUGGGUAUUUUGGCAGUAAUAAUGGAGUCUCCUUUAUCUCAUGUUCGGUUGGAGGACAAGAGUGUCAUUUCAAGAGAGUUUGCCUGUGUUUCCAGUUUGGGUAGUGGUGGGCAUAGUUACUGCUGUGGUCGUAGGUCUCAUUCUGCUCAUCAGCAUGAUUCUGGCUGUCCUCUAUAGAAGGAAAAACUCUAAACGGGAUUACACUGGCUGCAGUACAUCAGAGAGUUUGUCACCAGUUAAGCAGGCUCCUCGGAAGUCCCCCUCCGACACUGAGGGUCUUGUAAAGAGUCUGCCUUCUGGAUCUCACCAGGGCCCAGUCAUAUAUGCGCAGUUAGACCACUCCGGCGGACAUCACAGUGACAAGAUUAACAAGUCAGAGUCUGUGGUGUAUGCAGAUAUCCGGAAAAAUUAAGAGAAGACCUAGAACAUAUCCUCAGCAAGAAGCAAAACCAAACUGGACUCUGGUGCAGAAAAUGUAGCCCAUUACCACAUGUAGCCUUGGAGACCCAGGCAAGGACAAGUACAUGUGUACUCACAGAGGGAGAGAAAGAUGUGUACAAAGGAUAUGUAUAAAUAUUCUAUUUAAUCUUCCUGAUGUGAGGAGCCAUUGUUGCAUGAUGAAAAGAUGGUAUGAUUCUACAUAUGUACCUAUUGUCUUACUGUUUUUGUACUUUAUUUUCAGGUCAUUUACACUUGGGAGAUUUCAGAAACAUUCCUAUCACCAUCACUUAGAAAUGGUUUGCCUUAAUGGAGACAGUGGCAGAUCUGUAUGUAGUAUUUCCAAUAGACAUGGCCUUUUAAUGUAAAGGCUUAAUCAGUCUUAGCCUUUAUUGUAGUUGGAGGAUGGCGAUGCUGUGAUGGACGCAUAUCCUGGUUGGCCUUUAACACAGUGUCAGCACCAUUUAUUUGUUUGCAGCUUUUUAAAAAUACCUGUUGGCUAUGCCUCUUGAAAACAACUUGAGAAGUUUUCGUUGAUGUUUUUCUCACUAAAAUAUGGAGCAAGUGUUAGCCUUACAUGUUGUAUAGACUAAAUUGCACCCUUGAAAUGUGUUGGAUCAAUUUGUGGAUUCAUAAUAGCAAGAUUAGCAAAGGAUAAAUGCCAAAGGUUACUUUAUUCUGGAUACUUUAGAUCAACACUGAUUAAGUAGAAAAUCCAAACUUUGCUUGAGAACUACUGUAAUGUGGAGAGUAAAAGGUAUUGGUUUUAUU
This is an RNA transcript of Cebus imitator (Panamanian white-faced capuchin), 1896 nucleotides long. It is a transcript of the gene named myelin protein zero like 1, with no coding region annotated. Lineage: Eukaryota; Metazoa; Chordata; Mammalia; Primates; Cebidae. The transcript is spliced from 6 exons. The record is from RefSeq and is a predicted model, not a curated record.